CCUACGGGAGGCAGCAGUGGGGAAUAUUGCACAAUGGGCGAAAGCCUGAUGCAGCAACGCCGCGUGAGCGAUGAAGGCCUUCGGGUCGUAAAGCUCUGUCCUCAAGGAAGAUAAUGACGGUACUUGAGGAGGAAGCCCCGGCUAACUACGUGCCAGCAGCCGCGGUAAUACGUAGGGGGCUAGCGUUAUCCGGAUUUACUGGGCGUAAAGGGUGCGUAGGCGGUCUUUUAAGUCAGGAGUGAAAGGCUACGGCUCAACCGUAGUAAGCUCUUGAAACUGGAGGACUUGAGUGCAGGAGAGGAGAGUGGAAUUCCUAGUGUAGCGGUGAAAUGCGUAGAUAUUAGGAGGAACACCAGUAGCGAAGGCGGCUCUCUGGACUGUAACUGACGCUGAGGCACGAAAGCGUGGGGAGCAAACAGGAUUAGAUACCCGAGUAGUC
RNAcentral lists this ribosomal RNA (439 nucleotides) under uncultured Intestinibacter sp. RNAcentral describes it as "bacterial SSU rRNA". It matches the Rfam family "Bacterial small subunit ribosomal RNA", at positions 338 to 795 of the family's 1533-position model. Lineage: Bacteria; Bacillati; Bacillota; Clostridia; Peptostreptococcales; Peptostreptococcaceae. The record is from RNAcentral.